This 207-nucleotide ribosomal RNA is filed under the name uncultured bacterium. RNAcentral's name for it is "partial 16S ribosomal RNA". It matches the Rfam family "Bacterial small subunit ribosomal RNA", at positions 568 to 774 of the family's 1533-position model. The record is from RNAcentral.
CUCGUAGGCGGUUUGUCGCGUCGGGAGUGAAAACCCAGGGCUUAACUCUGGGCUUGCUUUCGAUACGGGCAGACUAGAGGUAUGCAGGGGAGAACGGAAUUCCUGGUGUAGCGGUGAAAUGCGCAGAUAUCAGGAGGAACACCGGUGGCGAAGGCGGUUCUCUGGGCAUUACCUGACGCUGAGGAGCGAAAGUGUGGGGAGCGAACA